CAGUAAGCUCGGUAAAAGUUAAUUUUUAAUUUAAAAUAUGUUUUUUGAGAUCCCAGGCAUAUGACAGUGCUUAACGUGGCUUCACACGGACCGGAUUUUCGGAAACAGAAACCCGUUAAGAUCGGACAUUACUAUUAGUAUUCCUGUGCGUUUACUUUUACCAGCAUUUCCUAUGUCUUAUGGACGAAAGCUCUCAUCUGCGUGCAUGACCCAGGAAACCAGUGAGGGUCCCAAACUCGCUGGGAAAGUGUGGACUCAAUCUCCCAGAGCGCUUUGCGCCGCAGAGUCUGACAUCACCACUUCCUUCUCUGCCUCCCACCCACGGCGCUGCUGCAGUGCGCAGGCGCAAGGGACAUUCCAUGCAUGUCUGAGCUGUAGAGCAGUGUGGUUAACCGUCGGUGGGAGAGGAGCUGCCAAAAAACACACCUAUUACGCAACCAGCAUCUUGGCUGUAAUGGGAGUUCCCCCAAUACACAACUAGGAGUAUCUUCUGCACGUCUUGUCAAACCCACAAAGUCACCCUGUGAGAGCUUUUUGGAGAAGGCAACUUUCUUUUCAAAGUCGUGAACUGAAAAGAGGGUUGCAGGCUUGCGUGGCGUCGUCGGAAUCCACGCAGAGGCGAAAUAGACCGCCUGGACAGGGCCACUGCUCGUGAAGAGCUGUUUGAUUAUCGGCUGGUUGAUCAAGGCGCUUUCCCUGCGACACGUAGAAACGUCUACUGCUUGCUAUUGCAAAACACCUACAAAAUCAUUAUAACUGUGUUUACUAAGUAAAUGGAAUCAUGUGAAAGAAAUAAUGGUCUAGGAUCUUUAUAAAAUUCUCAUGAUGCACCGUUGCUUACGCGCACGAUUGAGCGAAAUGGGUCUUACAAGGGACCAUCAAUUCGACUUAAACCUUCGCUUUGCGCUGGAACCUCGGUCAAUCGGUAUUCGUCUCACAAUUGCUUCAGCACGAUCUGUGGCCAUGGCAACGCGCGUUCCCAUGGAAACCAGUGCGCAGAGAGGUGCUGGACCUACGUCUUUAUUUUAAAGACGAAUCCUUCACAAAUUCUCUUGUACUUUGUAACUGCCUCGCCUGCUGUAAAGUCAACACGUAUUGGGAUAUUCGUCUGAUUUGUUUGAUCCUACUGUCUUCUGCCGAUAAUUAGUCGUUGACUUGAAGUCGUUGAUCUUUCCCCGUCUAGUUAAAACAUACAGGCCCUAGAGAGCUAUAGAGAGGAAAGUCUGAUCUGCAUAGUAUGGCAGCCAGAAACUGCAAUGUUAAUAAUUCAACACAGCAAAAACAUUGUAAAUUCCUUUUGAAUUGUUUUGAGGUCGAAGGCGUCGGUCCAAGGUGUUACCGCCAGGGGGGGGCCGAGAUCGACUCAAAUCAACCAGAGCGACGAUCCACCGGGAUCAAACCGAAAGGAAAACCGUUCAACUUCAUUUUCAUUCAGCUUCUCCUUCUUUGUGCGGGAAAAUAAGCCCGUCUCAACAAAAGAAUAUAUAAAAGCUAAACGAAAAAAAAAAGUGUUCGAUCUCAACCUAUUGUGAAAUGAAUCUUAACAUUUCUCUAUACUGCUGUAAAAAGGGUAAUUAAGCUUAACUGGAUAAACC
RNAcentral lists this long non-coding RNA (1595 nucleotides) under Lepisosteus oculatus (spotted gar). RNAcentral's name for it is "lncRNA (ENSLOCG00000023205.1)". The record is from RNAcentral. Lineage: Eukaryota; Metazoa; Chordata; Actinopteri; Semionotiformes; Lepisosteidae.